RNAcentral lists this ribosomal RNA (688 nucleotides) under Leifsonia soli. Its description in RNAcentral is "bacterial SSU rRNA". It matches the Rfam family "Bacterial small subunit ribosomal RNA", at positions 56 to 756 of the family's 1533-position model. Lineage: Bacteria; Bacillati; Actinomycetota; Actinomycetes; Micrococcales; Microbacteriaceae. The record is from RNAcentral.
UGCAGUCGAACGAUGAACCUGGAGCUUGCUCUAGGGGAUUAGUGGCGAACGGGUGAGUAACACGUGAGUAACCUGCCCUUGACUCUGGGAUAACCUCCGGAAACGGAAGCUAAUACCGGAUAUGACGUACGGAGGCAUCUCCUGUGCGUGGAAAGAAUUUCGGUCAAGGAUGGACUCGCGGCCUAUCAGGUAGUUGGUGAGGUAACGGCCCACCAAGCCUACGACGGGUAGCCGGCCUGAGAGGGUGACCGGCCACACUGGGACUGAGACACGGCCCAGACUCCUACGGGAGGCAGCAGUGGGGAAUAUUGCACAAUGGGCGCAAGCCUGAUGCAGCAACGCCGCGUGAGGGAUGACGGCCUUCGGGUUGUAAACCUCUUUUAGUAGGGAAGAAGCGAAAGUGACGGUACCUGCAGAAAAAGCACCGGCUAACUACGUGCCAGCAGCCGCGGUAAUACGUAGGGUGCGAGCGUUGUCCGGAAUUAUUGGGCGUAAAGAGCUCGUAGGCGGUCUGUCGCGUCUGCUGUGAAAACCGGAGGCUCAACCUCCGGCCUGCAGUGGGUACGGGCAGACUAGAGUGCGGUAGGGGAGAAUGGAAUUCCUGGUGUAGCGGUGGAAUGCGCAGAUAUCAGGAGGAACACCGAUGGCGAAGGCAGUUCUCUGGGCCGUAACUGACGCUGAGGAGCGA